RNAcentral lists this ribosomal RNA (253 nucleotides) under uncultured bacterium. Its description in RNAcentral is "partial 16S ribosomal RNA". It matches the Rfam family "Bacterial small subunit ribosomal RNA", at positions 524 to 776 of the family's 1533-position model. The record is from RNAcentral.
UACGAAGGGGGCAAGCGUUGCUCGGAAUGACUGGGCGUAAAGGGUGCGUAGGCGGGUCUUUAAGUCAGGGGUGAAAUCCUGGAGCUCAACUCCAGAACUGCCUUUGAUACUGAAGAUCUUGAGUUCGGGAGAGGUGAGUGGAACUGCGAGUGUAGAGGUGAAAUUCGUAGAUAUUCGCAAGAACACCAGUGGCGAAGGCGGCUCACUGGCCCGAUACUGACGCUGAGGCACGAAAGCGUGGGGAGCAAACAGG